GACGAACGCUGGCGGCGUGCUUAACACAUGCAAGUCGAACGAAGAGCGAUGGAAGCUUGCUUCUAUCAAUCUUAGUGGCGAACGGGUGAGUAACGCGUAAUCAACCUGCCCUUCAGAGGGGGACAACAGUUGGAAACGACUGCUAAUACCGCAUACGAUCUAAACUCGGCAUCGAGGAUAGAUGAAAGGUGGCCUCUACAUGUAAGCUAUCACUGAAGGAGGGGAUUGCGUCUGAUUAGCUAGUUGGAGGGGUAACGGCCCACCAAGGCGAUGAUCAGUAGCCGGUCUGAGAGGAUGAACGGCCACAUUGGGACUGAGACACGGCCCAGACUCCUACGGGAGGCAGCAGUGGGGAAUCUUCCGCAAUGGACGAAAGUCUGACGGAGCAACGCCGCGUGAGUGAUGACGGCCGUCGGGUUGUAAAGCUCUGUUAAUCGGGACGAAAGGCCUUCUUGCGAAUAGUGAGAAGGAUUGACGGUACCGGAAGAGAAAGCCACGGCUAACUACGUG
RNAcentral lists this ribosomal RNA (510 nucleotides) under uncultured bacterium. RNAcentral's name for it is "partial 16S ribosomal RNA". It matches the Rfam family "Bacterial small subunit ribosomal RNA", at positions 28 to 507 of the family's 1533-position model. The record is from RNAcentral.